RNAcentral lists this ribosomal RNA (1598 nucleotides) under human gut metagenome. RNAcentral describes it as "bacterial LSU rRNA". It matches the Rfam family "Bacterial large subunit ribosomal RNA", at positions 841 to 2440 of the family's 2925-position model. The record is from RNAcentral.
GGAUAUAGCUGGUUCUCCCCGAAAUAGGUUUAGGCCUAGCGUUGAGGUUAGCACAUUGGAGGUAGAGCACUGAAUAUGCGAUGGCGGCGCCUAGCCGUACUGAGUGUAAUCAAACUCCGAAUGCCAGUGGUAGCAUACUCAGCAGUCAGCGUAUGGGUGAUAACGUCCGUGCGCGAGAGGAAAAGAGUCCAGAUCGCCAGCUAAGGUCCCCAAAUAUAUGCUAAGUGGGAAAGGAUGUGGAGUUGUCAAAACAGCUAGGAGGUUGGCUCAGAAGCAGCCAUCCUUUAAAGAGUGCGUAAUAGCUCACUAGUCUAGUGACACCGCGCCGAAGAUGUACCGGGGCUAAGCAUAUUACCGAAGCUGCGAAUCUUGUUUACAAGAUGGUAGGGGAGCGUUCCAACAGGGCUGAAGGUCGAUCGUGAGGACGGCUGGACUGGUUGGAAGUGAGAAUGCCGGUAUGAGUAGCGCAAGAUGGGUGAGAAUCCCAUCCACCGUUUGCCCAAGGUUUCCUGGGGAAGGUUCGUCCUCCCAGGGUAAGUCAGGACCUAAGGCCAGGCCGAGAGGCGUAACCGAUGGACAACAGGUUUAUAUUCCUGUACCACCUAUAUAACUGAUGGAGUGACGGAGAAAGCUAGGAGGAGCCAGUUAUUGGAUUCUGGUUUAAGCGCUUAGGUUAGUAUGCUGGAAAAUCCGUAAUACUGUAUAACUGAAACGUGAUGACGUCGAUGACUUCGGUCAUUUAAGUUCUCUGACGCUAUGCUUCCAAGAAAAGCUUCUAGGGUUAAUUAUAUAGGUGCCUGUACCGAGAACCGACACAGGUGGGCAAGGAGAGUAUCCUAAGGUGAGCGAGUGAACUAUGGUUAAGGAACUCGGCAAAAUGACCCCGUAACUUCGGGAUAAGGGGUGAUCAAGCGAUUGAUCCGCAGUGAAAUGGCCCAAGCGACUGUUUAUCAAAAACAUAGGUUUCUGCUAAUUCGUAAGAAGAUGUAUAGGAGCUGACACCUGCCCAGUGCUGGAAGGUUAAGAGGAGUGCUUAGCUUGACAUUAGUCGAUUUGCGAAGGUACGAAUUGAAGCCCCAGUGAACGGCGGCCGUAACUAUAACGGUCCUAAGGUAGCGAAAUUCCUUGUCGGGUAAGUUCCGACCCGCACGAAAGGUGUAACGAUUUGGGCACUGUCUCGACCAUAGGCUCGGUGAAGUUCUAAUACCUGUGAAAAUGCAGGUUACCCGCGACAGGACGGUCAGACCCCGUGGAGCUUUACUACAGCUUGAUAUUGGGACUUGGUCUAUUAUGUAGAGAAUAGGUGGGAGACUUUGAAGCUAGGACGCUAGUUCUAGUGGAGUCACCUUUGGAAUACCACCCUUAGUAGACUGAGUUUCUAACCUGGCACCAUGAAUCUGGUGUGGGGACAGUGUCUGGUGGGUAGUUUGACUGGGGCGGUCGCCUCCUAAAGAGUAACGGAGGCGCUCAAAGGUUCCCUCAAAAUGGUUGGAAAUCAUUUGUAGAGUGUAAAGGUAUAAGGGAGCUUAACUGCGAGACCUACAAGUCAAGCAGAUGCGAAAGCAGGACUUAGUGAUCAGGCGAUUCAGUAUGGAAUG